ACGGGUGAGUAAUACAUCGGAACGUGCCCUGUAGUGGGGGAUAACUAGUCGAAAGAUUAGCUAAUACCGCAUACGACCUGAGGGUGAAAGUGGGGGACCGCAAGGCCUCAUGCUAUAGGAGCGGCCGAUGUCUGAUUAGCUAGUUGGUGAGGUAAAGGCUCACCAAGGCGACGAUCAGUAGCUGGUCUGAGAGGACGAUCAGCCACACUGGGACUGAGACACGGCCCAGACUCCUACGGGAGGCAGCAGUGGGGAAUUUUGGACAAUGGGCGAAAGCCUGAUCCAGCAAUGCCGCGUGUGUGAAGAAGGCCUUCGGGUUGUAAAGCACUUUUGUCCGGAAAGAAAUGGCUCUGGUUAAUACCUGGGGUCGAUGACGGUACCGGAAGAAUAAGGACCGGCUAACUACGUGCCAGCAGCCGCGGUAAUACGUAGGGUCCAAGCGUUAAUCGGAAUUACUGGGCGUAAAGCGUGCGCAGGCGGUUGUGCAAGACCGAUGUGAAAUCCCCGAGCUUAACUUGGGAAUUGCAUUGGUGACUGCACGGCUAGAGUGUGUCAGAGGGGGGUAGAAUUCCACGU
RNAcentral lists this ribosomal RNA (576 nucleotides) under uncultured bacterium. RNAcentral describes it as "bacterial SSU rRNA". It matches the Rfam family "Bacterial small subunit ribosomal RNA", at positions 102 to 674 of the family's 1533-position model. The record is from RNAcentral.